AUGGAGAGAGAAAUUGCAGGAUGCAGUAUUAUGGAGAGAGAGAUUGCAGGAUGGAGUAUUAUGGAGAGAGAGUAUACAGGGUGGAGUAUUAUGGAGAGAGAGAGUAUACAGGGUGGAGUAUUAUGGAGAGAGAGAGUUUACAGGAUGGAGUAUUAUGGAGAGACAGAGUUUACAGGAUAGGAUGGAUAUUAUGGAGAGAGAGAGUUUACAGGAUGGAUAUUAUGGAGAGAGAGAGUUUACAGGAUGGAGUAUUAUGGAGAGAGAGAUUGCAGGAUGGAGUAUUAUGGAGAGAGAGUAUACAGGGUGGAGUAUUAUGGAGAGAGAGUUUACAGCAUGAGUAUUAUGGAGAGGGAGAGUUUACAGGAUGGAGUAUUAUGGAGAGAGUGUUUAUAGGAUGGAGUAUUAUGGAGAGAGAGUUUACAGAGUGGAGUAUUAUGGAGAGAGAGUUUACAGGAUGGAGUAUUAUGGAGAGAGAGAGUUUCCAGGAUGGAGUAUUAUGGAGAGAGAGAGUUUACAGCAUGAGUAUUAUGGAGAGAGAGUUUACAGGAUGAAGUAUUAUGGAGAGAGAGAGUUUACAGGAUGGAGUAUUAUGGAGAGAGAGAGUUUCCAGGAUGGAGUAUUAUGGAGAGAGAGAGUUUCCAGGAUGGAGUAUUAUGGAGAGAGAGUUUACAGCAUGAGUAUUAUGGAGAGAGAGUUUACAGGAUGAAGUAUUAUGGAGAGAGUAUUUAUAGGAUGGAGUAUUAUGGAGAGAGAGUUUACAGGAUGGAGUAUUAUGGAGAGAGAGUUUACAGGAUGGAAUAUCUGUGGAGAGAGAGGGCUCCAUAGAUCUGCAGAGGGUAACUUUUGAGUAUUCAUUUGAGUACUUACCACUUGCUUAUCCACUGUGUGAGGAAACUACUUGAGGUCAAAAAUAAAAAAAGAAAAGAAGGGAAAAAGAA
Sapajus apella (tufted capuchin) is the source of this 938-nucleotide long non-coding RNA. RefSeq lists it as uncharacterized. The record is from RefSeq and is a predicted model, not a curated record. Lineage: Eukaryota; Metazoa; Chordata; Mammalia; Primates; Cebidae. The transcript is spliced from 3 exons.